CAAAGGCAUGGUCCCGACCUUUUAAUCAGCUUUAACCUGACUUACACAUGCAAGUCUCCGCAGCCCUGUGAGCAUGCCCUCAAUCCCCUCAUUUGGGGACGAGGAGCGGGUAUCAGGCACAAGAAUUAGCCCAAGACACCUAGCCCAGCCACGCCCCCAAGGGGAUCCAGCAGUGAUAAACAUUUAGCAAUAAGCGAAAGCUUGACUCAGUUAAGGUUACCAAGGGCCGGUAAAACUCGUGCCAGCAACCGCGGUUAGACGAGGGGCCCCAGUUGAUUAGCCCACGGCGUAAAGGGUGGUCAUGGAUAUCAGAAAAUAAAGCCAAAUAGCCCCUUGGCCGUCAUACGCUCCUGGGAGCCAGAAGCCCAAACACGAAAGUAGCUUUAAAAACUGCCUGAAUCCACGAAAGCUAAGAAACAAACUGGGAUUAGAUACCCCACUAUGCUUAGCCAUAAACCAAGACACAUAACUACAACGAUGUCCGCCUGGAUACUACGAGCGCUAGCUUAAAACCCAAAGGACCUGACGGUGUAUUAGAUCCCCCUAGAGGAGCCUGUUCUAGAACCGAUUAUCCACGUUUAACCUCACCACUUCUAGUUUUAACCAGCCUAUAUACCGCCGUCGCCAGCUUACCCUGUGAAGGGAAAGAAGUAAGCAAGAUGGGCACAGCCAAAAACGUCAGGUCGAGGUGUAGCACAUGAAGUGGGAAGAAAUGGGCUACAUUUUCUACCCCAGAUUAUUACGAAGGAAUAAUGUGAAAUACAUACCAGAAGGAGGAUUUAGAAGUAAAAAGGAAGCAGAGUGUCCUUUUGAACCCGGCUCUAAGACGCGUACACACCGCCCGUCACUCCCCCCGGUCUAAAUGCGAUAGAACAUACCUAAUAAGAUAGCACUGACGAGGGGGGAAAAGUCGUAACAAGGUAAGUGUACCGGAAGGUGCACUUGGAUCAAACC
Molecule: non-coding RNA, 954 nt
Filed under: Barilius bendelisis (Hamilton's barila)
Lineage: Eukaryota; Metazoa; Chordata; Actinopteri; Cypriniformes; Danionidae
Description: 12S rRNA
Rfam family: Bacterial small subunit ribosomal RNA
Source: RNAcentral